AAUCUAUGGUGCGGGCAUUUUUGAAUCAAUAUUUUGAAACGUUCCCAUGCCUCAUAAAAACUUUUGCCCUCUAUCUGUCUAAAAACAACAAUCUCUCGCCUUACUUGGACU
This is a non-coding RNA of Gossypium raimondii (Peruvian cotton), 111 nucleotides long. The record is from Rfam. Lineage: Eukaryota; Viridiplantae; Streptophyta; Magnoliopsida; Malvales; Malvaceae.